GCUCCUUUAGCUCAGUUGGUCAGAGCAUUGGUCUUAUGAGCCAAAGGUCCACGGUUCGAGCCCGUGAUGGAGCA
RNAcentral lists this transfer RNA (74 nucleotides) under Porticoccaceae bacterium. Its description in RNAcentral is "tRNA-Ile". It matches the Rfam family "tRNA". From Rfam's summary of the family: Transfer RNA (tRNA) molecules are approximately 80 nucleotides in length. Their secondary structure includes four short double-helical elements and three loops (D, anti-codon, and T loops). The record is from RNAcentral. Lineage: Bacteria; Pseudomonadati; Pseudomonadota; Gammaproteobacteria; Cellvibrionales; Porticoccaceae.